UUGAAAGGGAAACGAUUGAAGUCAGUCAUACCAACGGGAAAUCAACCUUUUGAGCUUGGUCUCGUGGGUUUUGAAGAGUUUCAAAGCCUUCGGAUUCGCGAGAUUGGGAUCUCUCGGUGUACUUUCUCGUACGGUUAGUCAACAUCGGUUUUGAAUGUCAUAAAAUGACUGGAGGAAUGUAGCUUCGAUCUCGUAUUGAAGUGUUAUAGCCUUUGGUAGAUGUGAUGUUUGAGACCGAGGAUUGCAACGGAUACCCUUCAGGGCUAUUCGUCUGAUCUCUGAUACGUUGCCUUGAUGUUGAAAGCUUGCUUAUGAUGUUAGGGUAUUACGGUCAACAGGUUAGAACGUGAUUACAUUCGUUAAGGAUGUUGACGUA
Molecule: ribosomal RNA, 376 nt
Filed under: uncultured Glomus
Lineage: Eukaryota; Fungi; Glomeromycota; Glomeromycetes; Glomerales; Glomeraceae
Description: LSU rRNA
Source: RNAcentral